CAAAUUCUAAGAUGAUAAUGAUAUUGAUUAUUGGUGUGAGUUAGUAUUGAAUCGGUGUAUGAUAAAGGCGUGUUAUGAAGAGACAGUGGAAUUCCUUGAUAUUAUUGAUAUUCUGUGAUAUCCCUUGAUAUUCUUCCAUAUUCUUUGAUAUCCCUUAAUAUUCGUUGAUAUUCGUUGACAUUCUUUGACACUCUUUGAUAUUCCUUGAUAUCUUUUCGAUAUUCCUUAAUAUAUUCCUCGAUAAUCCUUAACAUUCCUUGAUGCUCCUUGAGAUUUCUUGGAUUCUUUCCAUCUGAUUGGGAUGAACAACCCUAUGUAUAGGGGACACAAGGUAUACCUGUCUGUGUGAUAGGAGUUGGAUGGGACGCCAUCACUUGUGUGUGUUGUGAUUACAAGAAGGUUAAAAACCUUUAGUAGUGUCUAAUAUGGACACGCAACAUGAAGUUCAUUUGAUCGUAUUGAUCUCCCAGUCACUCUUGUAUUCCAAUGUGACCUAUUUUGAAAAUAUCUUGUUCCUCCGAAAUUCCCAAAGAUUGAUUCUUGGGAAAUGAAGUUUGCAAUUGUGAAGGUUUUGAUUCUCCUAUUUCUUUAACUUUGAAGGGUAUGCCAAAGUUGAGCAAAGGCGGACGAGCAUGUGAUAUUAUGAAGCGUGUACAAUGAUCUUAUAAAUGAUACGUUUUAGUUCUCAUCGCGGAUUCUGAGGACAGAAUCCUUAUAAGGGGGUGGAAUGUAAUAUCCCAUAUUAUUAAAUUUAGAUUUGAUUAUUAUAAAUCUAUUUGUCUAGAUAUUAUUGUUGUCUGUAGUUGAAUAUUGAUGUGAUUAUGUGAAAUAGUUGUAUGUGAUUAUACUUGUUUCAUGGAUUAAUAUGGAUUUUACAGAUUUUUCGUCCUCCUUCUUUCUUUGAUUCCGAGGACGGAAUCCCUAUAAGGAGGGUAGAUUGUAAUGACCCGGAUUUUUAAAAAUUUUUAUUAGUAUUAAAAGUGAUUUUCUUUAAAGAAGGGUCGAUAAUCCCUAAUAUUCUUGAUGCUCCUUGAGAUUUCUUGGAUUCUUUCCAUCUGAUUGGGAUGAACAACCCUAUGUAUAGGGGACACAAGGUAUACCUGUCUGUGUGAUAGGAGUUGGAUGGGACGCCAUCACUUGUGUGUGUUGUGAUUACAAGAAGGUUAACAACCUUUAGUAGUGUCUAAUAUGGACACGCAACAUUAAGUUCAUUUGAUCGUAUUGAUCUCCCAGUCAUUCUUGUAUUCCAAUGUCACCUAUUUUGAAAACAUCUUGUUCUAUUCGAAAAUUCCCAAAGAUCGAUUCUUGGGAAAUGAAUUUUGCAAUCGCGAAAGUGUGAUUUUCCUUUUCCAUUAAAGUCAAAGGUAUGCCAAGAUCAAUCGAAGGUGGAUGACGAUAUGAUAUUACGAAGUGUGUACGUUUUAGUUUCUUCGGAGGAUUCCGAGGACGGAAUCCUUAUAAGGGGGGUAGAAUGUAAUAUCCCAUAUUAUUAAAUUUAGAUUUGAUUAUUAUAAAUCUAUUUGUCUAAAUAUUAUUGUUGGCUUUAGUUGAAAAGUGAAUUGAUUAUGUGAAUAGUUUUAUGUGAUUAUACUUGUUAUGUGGAUUAAUAUGGAUUUUACAGAUUAUGCGUCCUCCUUCUUUCUCUGAUUCCGAGGACGGAAUCCCUAUAAGGAGGGUAGAUUGUAAUAACCCGGAUUUUAAAAAUAUUUUUAUUAAUAUUAUAAAUGAUUUUCUUAAAAAGAAAGGAAUAAGAUUUAAUAUUUUAUUCCAGUUUAAUGAGUUUUCAAG
Molecule: long non-coding RNA, 1788 nt
Filed under: Daucus carota (carrot)
Lineage: Eukaryota; Viridiplantae; Streptophyta; Magnoliopsida; Apiales; Apiaceae
Description: long non-coding RNA (DCAR_LNC005491)
Source: RNAcentral